CUGCGCUCCACUUUGAAUUUCCUACAAAACGAAAACGUGGAUACCAUCAUCGUUGAUCUGGGGAUGCGACCAACAGCCUCGCAAAUGUUGCAGUCUACAGGGGCCAACAUCCUGACCCUCGGGGGUAACACUAUCGGGGCCAAGCGGACCCUACAGAGGUUGCUGUUGGAGAGAGCAUGUGCAGAUUUGAAUAAAAGUUUUGGACCUGGGCCUGACCCAAAUUAAGCUUCUAAACUUGUCAAGAUAUGCUUGAAUGAUAGUGUACACGUUCUCAUGAGAUACCUUAAAGUUUAUGUACAAGAAAUCAACCAAUCCGUUAGCUUGUUAUUGUUUAUUACAUUUUAGCCGUAACACGCUGCAGCAUUCUAGUAUUUCUUCGAAACUUGAAUCAAAAACAGUGCAAGAUAAUCGUUUUUUAAAUUGUAAAUUAACCAACUUAGAUAAAUAAGUCUAACGUAUCAUGUUGUCACAUGCUUAAAGUUUUUUUUUAAAAUGACAGUAAAGCCUUGUCUCGCCAUGCUAAUGUUGUUAUACUUGCAAGCAUAUUUUGAUCACACAUUUUUAACAGUAUUAAUUAACUGUUGUAUUUUGUGUUAGAAAUAAAUGUGUACCUCCUACAUUGGCGCUAGAUUUGUUGUAUAAUUUUUGUAUACACAUUGUCAAAUCAAGUAACAAUAAUUCUAAUUACUUCUUCAAUCAAUUAAAACUGUAUCCAUUCUAAUUUCAUUAAACUAUUAUUAUCUG
This is a long non-coding RNA of Physella acuta, 744 nucleotides long. RefSeq lists it as uncharacterized. The record is from RefSeq and is a predicted model, not a curated record. Lineage: Eukaryota; Metazoa; Mollusca; Gastropoda; Physidae.